This 533-nucleotide long non-coding RNA is filed under the name Elaeis guineensis (African oil palm). Its description in RNAcentral is "long non-coding RNA (EGUI_LNC062039)". Lineage: Eukaryota; Viridiplantae; Streptophyta; Magnoliopsida; Arecales; Arecaceae. The record is from RNAcentral.
AGGCUAAAUUAAUUACUAAAAAUUAUUUAAAAAAAUAAUUGAUUAAGAACCUAUCCUAAGUGCAUAUGGCUUGAUCGAACCAUCCUCAGAUUUAUAUGCAGUGUAUAUGGAUUCUAGUACUCGCUAAAGAAUUAAGGUAAUUCUUCGAAUUGGAGGUAGAGGCUAUCAAUUCAUAUAAAAUAGUAGAAGGACCUUUAGACUAAAGUCCAUAUCUUUAGGAUUAAUAAAUUCAUAUACUGAUUAGAUUUUAUAUUUUCCUUGUGUGUGUAGAUAUGGCCUCAAACUUGUCACUCCGAUCACUGUUGGAUAGUGAGAAACUAAUCGGAUCAAAUUUUGAUGACUGAUAUCAAAAGCUCAAAAUUAUCCUAGAGCACAAGUGGAUCCUAUACGUGAUUACGGAUUCGGUACCUGAGGAGCCUGCUCCCAACGUCCGAGGUGCGGUUUAAGAUAUUUAUUUGAAGUGGCUCAAUAAUCGAAACCAUGGUUCAUUACAUUUUGCAGACCUCCAUGAAUGAUGAGUUCAGCUAAAAAUU